ACUCUAGCUGCCAAAGGCGCU
Molecule: microRNA, 21 nt
Filed under: Dasypus novemcinctus (nine-banded armadillo)
Lineage: Eukaryota; Metazoa; Chordata; Mammalia; Cingulata; Dasypodidae
Also listed under: 16 other names
Description: dno-miR-1251-5p
Source: miRBase by way of RNAcentral